This 285-nucleotide ribosomal RNA is filed under the name uncultured microorganism. Its description in RNAcentral is "partial 16S ribosomal RNA". It matches the Rfam family "Bacterial small subunit ribosomal RNA", at positions 366 to 668 of the family's 1533-position model. The record is from RNAcentral.
CCCCAAUGGACGAAAGUCUGAGGGAGCGACGCCGCGUGAAUGAAGAAGCCCUUCGGGGUGUAAAUUCUUUCUUUAGGAAAAUUCGUGAUGGUACUAAAGGAAUAAGGGGCCGCCAAACUCGUGCCAGCAGCGGCGGUAAUACGAGUGCCCCGAGCGUUAUCCGGAAUUACUGGGGCGUAAAGCGCUAAAAGGCGGUUUGAUAAGUCAGACGUCAAAUCUCCGAGCUCAACUCGGAGCCGGUGUCUGAAACUGUCUAACUUGAGGACGGAAGAGGCAAGCGGGAAU